GCCAGGUUUGGUGGUGCGUGCCUGUAAUUUCGGCUACUUGGAAGGGUGAGACAAAGGGUCACAGGAGCUCUGGGUUGUAGUGCUCUAUGCCCAUCGCUCAUCCACGUGUCCACACUAAGUUUGGCUUCAAUAUGGUCAAUAUGGUGACCUCUCAGGAGUAGGAGACAACCAGGUUGCCUAAGAAGCGGUCGACUGGUUCAGGUCAUAAACAGAGCACUUCAAAAUUCUCCUUCUAAUCAAUAGUGGGAUAGUACCUGUGAAUAGCCUCUGCACUCCAGCCCUGGCAGCAUAGCAAGACUCUGACUUU
Molecule: unclassified non-coding RNA, 307 nt
Organism: Aotus nancymaae (Ma's night monkey)
Lineage: Eukaryota; Metazoa; Chordata; Mammalia; Primates; Aotidae
Rfam family: Metazoan signal recognition particle RNA
About the family: The signal recognition particle (SRP) is a universally conserved ribonucleoprotein. It is involved in the co-translational targeting of proteins to membranes.
Source: Ensembl